Molecule: ribosomal RNA, 497 nt
Filed under: uncultured bacterium
Lineage: Bacteria
Description: partial 16S ribosomal RNA
Rfam family: Bacterial small subunit ribosomal RNA
Source: RNAcentral
GAUGAACGCUGGCGGCAUGCCUAAUACAUGCAAGUCGAGCGAACAGACGAGGAGUUUGCUCCUCUGACGUUAUCGGCGGACGGGUGAGUCCCACGUGGUUAACCUACCUAUAAGACUGGGAUACCUUUGCGAAACCGGAGCUACUACCGGAUAAUAUAUUGAACCGCAUGGUUCAAUCGUGAAAGUCGGUUUUGCUGUCACUUAUAGAUGGCUCAGCGCCGCAUGAGUUAGUUGGUAAGGUAACGGCUUAGCAAGGCAACGAUGCGUAGCCGACCCGAGAGGGACAACGGCCACACUGGAAGUGAGGCACAGCCCAGACACCUGCAGGGGGACGCGGUAGGGAAUCUUCCGCGAAGGGGGAGAGCCGGACGGUGCAACGCCGCCGGAAUGCUGAAGGAGUUCUGAUCGGAGAACUCUGUAAGUCUGGGAGAACAAAUGUGUAAGUACCUAGGCACAUCUUGACGGUACCUAGACAGAAAGCCACGGCUAACUACGUG